This 741-nucleotide ribosomal RNA is filed under the name uncultured Bacteroidota bacterium. RNAcentral describes it as "bacterial SSU rRNA". It matches the Rfam family "Bacterial small subunit ribosomal RNA", at positions 116 to 860 of the family's 1533-position model. The record is from RNAcentral. Lineage: Bacteria; Pseudomonadati; Bacteroidota.
CGUAUCCAACCUUCCCAUUACUGUGGGAUAACCUGCCGAAAGGGAACUAAUACCGCAUAGUCUUCGAUGACGGCAUCAGAUUUGAAGUAAAGAUUUAUCGGUAAUGGAUGGGGAUGCGUCUGAUUAGCUUGUUGGCGGGGUAACGGCCCACCAAGGCAACGAUCAGUAGGGGUUCUGAGAGGAAGGUCCCCCACAUUGGAACUGAGACACGGUCCAAACUCCUACGGGAGGCAGCCGUUAGGAAUAUUGGUCAAUGGACGGAAGUCUGAACCAGCCAAGUAGCGUGCAGGAUGACGGCCCUAUGGGUUGUAAACUGCUUUUGUAUGGGGAUAAAGUUAGGGACGUGUCCCUAUUUGCAGGUACCAUACGAAUAAGGACCGGCUAAUUCCGUGCCAGCAGCCGCGGUAAUACGGAAGGUCCAGGCGUUAUCCGGAUUUAUUGGGUUUAAAGGGAGCGUAGGCUGGAGAUUAAGUGUGUUGUGAAAUGUAGACGCUCAACGUCUGAAUUGCAGCGCAUACUGGUUUCCUUGAGUACGCACAACGUUGGCGGAAUUCGUCGUGUAGCGGUGAAAUGCUUAGAUAUGACGAAGAACUCCGAUUGCGAAGGCAGCUGACGGGAGCGCAACUGACGCUUAAGCUCGAAGGUGCGGGUAUCAAACAGGAUUAGAUACCCUGGUAGUCCGCACAGUAAACGAUGGAUGCCCGCUGUUGGUACCUGGUAUCAGCGGCUAAGCGAAAGCAU